AGUUCUAUAAAGUUCUAUAAAGAGGUCCUUGGCUGCAUCGCUUUGUAUUCCAGUCCUGAUCUACUUUAGAGAAAUUCAUCCUGAGAUUUCAGCACUAUGUCUUACCAAGAGCAGCAGUGCAAGCAGGUUUGCCAGCCUCCUCUUGUGUGCCCACCCCGAAGUGCCCAGAGCCCUGUCCUCUGCCAAAGUGCCCCGAGCCUUGUCCUCCUGCAAAGUGCCCAGAGUCCUAUCCACUGCCAAAGUGCCCUGAGCCAUGCCCACCUCAGUCAUGCCAGCAGAAAUGCCCUCCUGUGCAACCUCCUCCACCAUGCCAGCAAAAGUGCCCACCCAAGAGCAAAUAAGGGCUUCAGUAGUCUUCAAAACCAAAAGAAGAGAACAGAAUCCAUCUUACAUAAGUCCAUAGCAACACCUCCAUCUUCCAUUUAAACCUGUAAUGGAUUCAAAAGAAUCUUCUCCAACAUUCCUCCACCAUAUGGGUCUUAAGACACAGGCACUUGGAUACUAUUUGCAUGCUGUUAUCAAAAGACUGUUGAAAAUGGCCCUUCUUUAGUGUCAUUAUCACAGAUGCUCAGAGGGAAGAUCAGAUGUCUUCUCAGUGCCCUCAAAGAAUGUUUUCCAAAUCUGAUUGUCACUGGUGUUCUAUUUCCUGAAUAAAGUACAAUCUUAUUAAUGG
RNA transcript from Mus musculus (house mouse), 673 nucleotides. It is a transcript of the gene named small proline-rich protein 2J, pseudogene, with no coding region annotated. The transcript is spliced from 2 exons. Lineage: Eukaryota; Metazoa; Chordata; Mammalia; Rodentia; Muridae. The record is from RefSeq and is marked validated.